GUCGUGGCUCGGAGGACAUUAAUGAAUUUUGAAGGGGUUGUAGCUGGCCCGCGAGGGCAUGUGCACGCCCCGUUCAAUCCAUUCUACCCCUGUGCACCACGCUGUAGGGACGGAGGGCCGUGAGGUCUUUUGUCUCUAUGUCAUUCACAAACCCUGUAGUCUCAGAAUGUAAACGCGUAUAACGCAUCUUAUACAACUUUCAGCAACGGAUCUCUUGGCUCUCGCAUCGAUGAAGAACGCAGCGAAAUGCGAUAAGUAAUGUGAAUUGCAGAAUUCAGUGAAUCAUCGAAUCUUUGAACGCACCUUGCGCUCCUCGGUAUUCCGAGGAGCAUGCCUGUUUGAGUGUCAUGGAACCAUCAACCUCUUACGCUUUUGCGUGACGGGCUUGGACUUGGAGGGUUGUGCCGGCGCGAGUCGGCUCCUCUGGAAUUUAUUAGCUGGACCAUGAGUCUGGUUGCACGGUGUGAUAAUUAUCUGCAUCGUCUGCCUCUCUGCGGAUCAGCUUCGAACCGUCUCCCCUCGGAGACAAUUCAUUUGACCUCUGGCCUCAAAUCAGGUAGGACUACCCGCUGAACUUAAGCAAUCAAAAACGGGGAAGAAAA
RNAcentral lists this ribosomal RNA (602 nucleotides) under Dacryobolus montanus. RNAcentral's name for it is "eukaryotic LSU rRNA". The stretch from base 195 to 348 matches the Rfam family "5.8S ribosomal RNA". The record is from RNAcentral. Lineage: Eukaryota; Fungi; Basidiomycota; Agaricomycetes; Polyporales; Dacryobolaceae.